Molecule: ribosomal RNA, 253 nt
Filed under: uncultured bacterium
Lineage: Bacteria
Description: partial 16S ribosomal RNA
Rfam family: Bacterial small subunit ribosomal RNA
Source: RNAcentral
UACAGAGGGUGCAAGCGUUAAUCGGAUUUACUGGGCGUAAAGGGCGCGUAGGUGGUGGCGUAAGUGAGAUGUGAAAUCCCCGGGCUUAACCUGGGACGUGCAUCUUAGACUGCGUAGCUAGAGUGUAGUAGAGGGUAGUGGAAUUUCCGGUGUAGCGGUGAAAUGCGUAGAUAUCGGAAGGAACACCAGUGGCGAAGGCGGCUACCUGGACUAACACUGACACUGAGGCACGAAGGCCAGGGGAGCAAACGGG